Molecule: long non-coding RNA, 568 nt
Organism: Musa acuminata AAA Group (dessert banana)
Lineage: Eukaryota; Viridiplantae; Streptophyta; Magnoliopsida; Zingiberales; Musaceae
Exons: 2
Source: RefSeq, a predicted model, not a curated record
CGACUGCUGAGACAACAAGGGUAUCAUGUGACCCCUGAUGUUUUUAACAAGUUCAAAGAUGAGGAAGGAAAUUUAGUGUCCACCUUGAAGGAUGAUCCAAAGGGACUUUUAAGCUUAUACAAUGCGGCUUAUCUACGGAUACAUGAGGAGACCAUACUCGAUGAAGCUAUUUCCUUUACAAGGGACCAGAUUGCGUCCAUGUUAAGUGAUCUCACACCACCGUUAGCAACGCAAGUGAGACUGUUCCUGGAGAGUCCUCUCUGUAGAAGAAUGAAAAGGGUCUUGGCACGAAAUUUCAUCUCCAUCUACCAAGACUGUGCGACACGAAAUGAUGCCUUACUAGAGCUGGCAAAGCUUGACUUCAAUCUACUGCAAUGUCUUCAUCGCGACGAGAUUAAGAGCAUCUCCAUGUAAUUUCUUUCCUACAGUUAGAUUGAUUGAGAGUUCAGGUUGAGGAGUAAACUUGAAUACGUAGAACACUGUCAUUGUAGAAAUGUUUGAUUGUUUCCGUCUUUUUUUAUCGAUGUUUGGAUUGACAAUAACAUUGUGGUUUGUGGAUUGCAUUGAA